This is a long non-coding RNA of Vicia villosa (hairy vetch), 851 nucleotides long. RefSeq lists it as uncharacterized. NCBI's taxonomy places the organism in Eukaryota, Viridiplantae, Streptophyta, Magnoliopsida, Fabales, Fabaceae. The transcript has 2 exons. The record is from RefSeq and is a predicted model, not a curated record.
CGUAUGUCUUCCGUGAGCUGAAAUGAAGUGCAUAGAAUUCCGAGCUCGGUAUUUUCAAAUGGUGAGCUAGAUGUGUGGCAUUUAUUUCUUUUUCUUUUAGUAUGGAGCUGAAUUGGUUUUAUGCUAGUGCUGCAGGGAGUUUGGGCAUUGACCGAUUUCUUUGUUAUGAUGCAGAAUUUGAUUUUUUUGCCGGUUAUGCAGGCUUUGACUACUGUACUGAUGUUGCAGAGUUCGCUUGCAGCCGAUUAGAGAAUGAGACAGGGUGGUUUGUAAUGAAUGGCGAUUCGACGAUGUCGGUUCAACGUGUUAUUUUUGCAAGAUACAUCAAUGUGCUCCUUAACAACCCCAACCGGUGAAUCACACCGUUUCAACUUCCAUCCAGCAUUACGAUCAUACAGAGAAUUAUAACUUCAGAUUUCUGAGCUUCAUGAGAAGAUCCAGCGAAUGCAGUUCGUUGAAGAACAUCGGCACAAGGUUCCAGAAUAGGAGUGCGUUCUUGGUACAUGCUCGGUGUAGAACGUAUCAAUGAAUUCAUCGUGCCUGAUCGAGUGUAAUGCAAUUGACGGUUCAAAGUUGUAAUGAACCUCCCUCUUUUGUAAUAUACUUUUAUGCAGGAUUUUGGUUAGGAUUUUCUCCUGCUGCAAAGUUGCAUUUUUGUUGUAGUUUUUUCAAUUCUGGCCUUUUUGUAAUGUGUAAUGGAUGUAUUGGUUUUGGAUAUGGCUUCCUCUUGUUUGAUGUAUCAUGAUCUUUUUAUGAACAUUUGAUGUUCAGGUUGCUUUAUGUACAGUACCAAUGUGUAGGCCCGAGAUCUUCUGGAACUGAAUGUGACUGGCUAGCAUGAGCAUUGUUUA